Molecule: ribosomal RNA, 492 nt
Filed under: uncultured bacterium
Lineage: Bacteria
Description: partial 16S ribosomal RNA
Rfam family: Bacterial small subunit ribosomal RNA
Source: RNAcentral
AUUGAACGCUGGCGGCAUGCUUUACACAUGCAAGUCGAACGGUAACAGGCCUUCGGGUGCUGACGAGUGGCGAACGGGUGAGUAAUGCAUCGGAACGUACCCAGAGGUGGGGGAUAACGCAGCGAAAGCUGUGCUAAUACCGCAUGUGAUCUGAGGAUGAAAGCGGGGGACCGAGCAGCAAUGUUUGGCCUCGCGCCUUUGGAGCGGCCGAUGUCGGAUUAGCUAGUUGGUGGGGUAAAGGCCUACCAAGGCGACGAUCCGUAGCUGGUCUGAGAGGACGACCAGCCACACUGGGACUGAGACACGGCCCAGACUCCUACGGGAGGCAGCAGUGGGGAAUUUUGGACAAAGGGCGCAAGCCUGAUCCAGCAAUGCCGCGUGCGGGAAGAAGGGCUUCGGGUUGUAAACCGCUUUUGGCAGGAACGAAACGGUGUCCGCUAAUACCGGGCGCUAAUGACGGUACCUGCAGAAUAAGCACCGGCUAACUACGUG